GCGGUGGUCGGGAAUAAUUGGGCGUAAAGCGCGCGCAGGCGGCUUCUUAAGUCAGGUUGUGAAAGCCCACGGCUCACACCGUGGAGGGCCACUUGAAACUGGGAGGCUUGAGUGCAGGAGAGGAGAGCGGAAUUCCACGUGUAGCGGUGAAAUGCGUAGAGAUGUGGAGGAACACCCGUGGCGAAGGCGGCUCUCUGGCCUGUAACUGACGCUGAGGCGCGAAAGCGUGGGGAGCGAACAGGAUUAGAUACCCUGGUAGUCCACGCCGUAAACGUUGAGUGCUAGGUGUUGGGGACUCCAAUCCUCAGUGCCGCAGCUAACGCAAUAAGCACUCCGCCUGGGGAGUACGGCCGCAAGGCUGAAACUCAAAGGAAUUGACGGGGACCCGCUCAAGCGGUGGAACAUGUGGUUUUUUUCUCAUCAUCGCGAAAAACCUUACCAUGUC
Molecule: ribosomal RNA, 445 nt
Filed under: Aneurinibacillus aneurinilyticus
Lineage: Bacteria; Bacillati; Bacillota; Bacilli; Caryophanales; Paenibacillaceae
Description: bacterial SSU rRNA
Rfam family: Bacterial small subunit ribosomal RNA
Source: RNAcentral